UUUCAUUGUUUACCCUUAAUUGCAGAGUUUAGAGAGUACAUGUAAUGACAUCGGAAAGAAAAUACUUCCCGAACAUUUGAUCCUUGCAGCAGAUUGCCUAUCAUCCACAGGAGAAUUUGUGGGUUUAAAUGCAAAAGGCACUGCCCAACAACAAGAACACACAUCUGUAUCAUCGCCAUUCAUGCAAGCGUGUUUCUCAUAGCCAAGGCUGGAGCUCUGGAUGAACUUCCGGGGAGUUUGGAAGCCUUGGCAUGGGGAAAGCCUCCUCCUUCGGGGACUGGCAGGCAAUUUGAAGUUUUAUUUUCUCAGAAGGGGCUCAACUUAUCCAAGCCACUCUAUGUUUACGACAUGCUCGGCUGCCAAGUUGGUUCCAUUAAGGAAAAUGAAGUUAAAGUGCCUGAUGCUUGGAACAUCUCUAGAUCAGUCAUUAAAAAGUAUCUAAAGUUCAACGAUAUUCUGAAGUGGUCUCAGACAUGGAGGCACAUAUUACGCACGUAUCCCAUCAAUGAAACACUAAAUGAUGAGGACAAGUCAAAACUGAUGACAGCUUUAUAUUUUCAUCCCCAUAGAAUGCAUAAGAUGGGAUCUGGAGUUUAAGACAUAAAGGUCGGUUCUCACCCUAAACAUGAGGGCGCACGCUGCUUUAUGGUAGUACGAACAGAUGGAACAGUUGAAGAUUUUUCGUACCACAAGUGCGUGAUGGGUGCUCUUGAUACUGUAGCACCUCAGAGGGUAAAGAGCUACCAGUCAAAAUGGUUUGACCAUGGACCUGAAUAAACCGGUCCAUAUCAUGUAUAUUUUCCGGUGUCCAAGCAUGUACAGUAGGUGUAGAUUAGAGAAAUAAGAUCUUCAAAAUGGACCCUUCACCUUAUUUAGCUGUGGAUGUUUCAGAAUCCGAAGCCCCCAAGAAUUUGGAUCAAAAGUUACUGCCUGGGCAGCACCGGCGGAUAAAGUUAGUAUACAUGAAUUUUGCUAGUCUAACUAUACAAAGGGCAGCGACUCAUCUCAAGGAGACGGUGUUUUGAAGUUCCGAUACCUUUAUCAAAGCUGCAAUCCUUGUUCAUACACAGGCUUCUCAGGUACGAAAUGAGCCAUCUCAGAUCGGUUCAUUGCUCCGUCCCAGAGUAACUUGUAAGGGAAACAGAAUAUUUCGAGCUUGAAGAGGGGUUGGCGAAGUCGGCCAUUUUUCUCUUUUUGCUUUUGUUUUCAGGUCUCUGUGGCUCCAAUGCUCUAUGCUUCCUUUCGCUACUUCUAUUGGAACUUGUUUGCCGUACAUUUAGAAACAGGCAGAAGAGAUCUAGUGGAAGUAGCAAGGGGAAGCUGGCACUGGAUUUAAGCCCCCCUUUUAUUGUUGUAAUAAUUUGAUAAAACAGAAAAAUGUUGUGACAACUUAA
Malus domestica (apple) is the source of this 1394-nucleotide non-coding RNA. NCBI's taxonomy places the organism in Eukaryota, Viridiplantae, Streptophyta, Magnoliopsida, Rosales, Rosaceae. The record is from RefSeq and is a predicted model, not a curated record.